GCUCUGGAGCCCUUCUUCAGCGCAGCUGCUACUCAGUUUAUCCUUGGACAGCAAGUUCCCUUCUCUCUUUUUUGGAAGGGGUUAUCUGUGGAUGUAUUAUGUCAUUGAGUGCGCUGCUGAUCUACAAGUUUUUGUUUUAAUUUUCCUUUCCUUUUUAAUGCAGGAAACUCGAAUACAAUAGUGGCUCUUGCUGGGAACAAGGCUGAUUUGUUAGAUAAAGGUGGGAUUCUAUUUCUAAUGCCCCUGCAGCUUCUGUAAGCAGAGGAUCCAAUUAUUGUACUACAGCAGUGUAGCCUGUUCAGAUUUGAGCUUGUUCGGCCAUUAAUAGUGUUUAGAAGCCUAACAGAGUGAUUCUGUGUUGAUGGCACACACUUGACACCUGUAGUGGUAUCACCUGUAAGAAGAGGGUACCAGUUAUUUUGUCGUGAUCCAGCAAGUCACAAUAUGUUCUGAAACAAAGUAGCUAGAGCAGUAGAGCACACAUGUGAGUUCAAGCAAACAGAAUUAUCACGAGACAUACCCUAUGGUGGUGGGGUUGAUUCAACAAUAAGAAUAGUAUUAGAUGCAUGCACUAAAAUGAAACUGCAAUUUAAAGCUCCUUGCAAACUCUACAAAUGUUCUGAAACGGUGGAUAGCAAGUGCAUAUGCUAACUUACCAAAAGAUGGUAAGGAAAUAUUUUUUUCAAAUAUGCAUGAGAGCAGCAAGUGCCCUCAUAUUGGAUAUGAGUGCUAUUCAUAACAAUUAUCACCAGAAACUUGACAGGUUUUCUCCUUUUAAUUAUUGGACCACAAUGGAAAGAAGAAUACUCUAGAAUUUUUUUCUCCUUUGGAUGGAAUUAGAAUAUUCACACAAAAAAAAUUAGAAAAGGCCUCCAAACAAAUAUUGCAAUUAAGACGAGCAAAUAAUGUUACCUUUUCAGCCACUUUGGUCUGCCAGGCUUCUUAUUUGUUGUUGUUGGUACAGGAACAGAUUGAGAUGCAUCAGAUU
Molecule: long non-coding RNA, 988 nt
Filed under: Zea mays
Lineage: Eukaryota; Viridiplantae; Streptophyta; Magnoliopsida; Poales; Poaceae
Description: long non-coding RNA (ZMAY_LNC005207)
Source: RNAcentral